Molecule: small RNA, 745 nt
Filed under: Pongo abelii (Sumatran orangutan)
Lineage: Eukaryota; Metazoa; Chordata; Mammalia; Primates; Hominidae
Description: processed transcript
Source: RNAcentral
GCUGGAGCUGCGGGGUUACCAUGGGAACCGAACCGCCGCGCCUCGCCCAGGACAGGUACACUUAGAGGCCUUUUGUGUCCAGCUGGGCAGAAGUGCUGCACCACAGGCUGUGGUCGGAUCUGCUGAGACAUUCCUAAGGGGAGGAAAAGAGAUUGCCUUAGGGUUAUUCGGAAACAAUCCUGUUUGAAAAGGUGCAUCACUGAUGAGACAUGUCCAGGUGUAAAGAAAUGCUGCACGCUUGGCUGCAACAAGAGCUGUGUAGUCCCAAUCUCUAAACAGAAGCUGGCAGAGUUUGGUGGUGAAUGUCCUGCUGACCCCCUUCCGUGUGAGGAGCUGUGUGAUGGGGAUGCAUCCUGUCCCCAGGGGCAUAAAUGCUGCAGCACCGGCUGUGGCCGCACCUGCCUUGGAGACAUUGAGGGAGGGCGGGGCGGUGAUUGUCCAAAAGUUCUGGUGGGCCUGUGCAUUGUUGGCUGUGUGAUGGAUGAGAAUUGUCAAGCUGGAGAAAAAUGUUGCAAGUCAGGCUGUGGCCGCUUCUGUGUCCCACCAGUCCUGCCCCCAAAACUGACCACGAACCCCAACUGGACUGUGAGGUCUGAUUCUGAAUUAGAGAUCCCGGUGCCCUAGCUGUGCUGAUUUGUCUGGAGCUUCUUUGGUAAUUCUGGAAGCUUUUCCUGGCAGUCAAGAGGGUGACAUCCUGGGGCUUGUGACAUUUCCAGGGGCACUCAUGGCCCUCUCUGCUCUGCUU